UACAGAGGUCUCAAGCGUUGUUCGGAUUCAUUGGGCGUAAAGGGCGCGUAGGCUGCUGGGCAAGUCGGGUGUGAAAUCUCAGAGCUCAACUCUGAAACUGCACUCGAUACUGCUUUGCUUGAGGACUGGAGAGGAGAUUGGAAUUCACGGUGUAGCAGUGAAAUGCGUAGAUAUCGGGAGGAAGACCAGUGGCGAAGGCGGAUCUCUGGACAGCUCCUGACGCUGAGGCGCGAAGGCUAGGGGAGCAAACGGG
This 253-nucleotide ribosomal RNA is filed under the name uncultured bacterium. RNAcentral describes it as "partial 16S ribosomal RNA". It matches the Rfam family "Bacterial small subunit ribosomal RNA", at positions 524 to 776 of the family's 1533-position model. The record is from RNAcentral.